Molecule: transfer RNA, 76 nt
Filed under: Rubrivivax sp.
Lineage: Bacteria; Pseudomonadati; Pseudomonadota; Betaproteobacteria; Burkholderiales; Sphaerotilaceae
Also listed under: 24 other names
Description: tRNA-Arg
Rfam family: tRNA
About the family: Transfer RNA (tRNA) molecules are approximately 80 nucleotides in length. Their secondary structure includes four short double-helical elements and three loops (D, anti-codon, and T loops).
Source: RNAcentral
GCGCCCGUAGCUCAAUGGAUAGAGUACUGCCCUCCGAAGGCAGGGGUUGUUGGUUCGAUCCCAACCGGGCGCACCA